AUGAUUACUAUAUCCGAACAGACUCAUACCAGGACUACUUGGGUAAAUCUCAUCAAUAUCGUGAGCUACGGGCUGAAGGUUAUAGUCGUCAACAUUUGUCCCCUCCAUCUGAUCUGCAACAACUUCAGUACUCACAAUCUCAUUAUGCGCAAGGGAUGGUGCUUCACAUGUAUAGCAAGUUUUAUAGACGAACAUAUACCUGCAGAUAAGUACAAAUUGCUAAUGGCCGCUGAAGAUGACAAACACCUGUUGUGUGUUGCUAUUCCACAGAUCGUGCCAAGGUACUUGAAGAUAGCUAAUGGUUUAUUAGGUCCAUUACUAAAGCUUGUAUUUGUAUUUGUAUCUUCUAUAGUUGUAUGCAUGAUAACCGUACACAAACAGUUUGUAAUGACGCGUGAUGCAUGA
This 405-nucleotide ribosomal RNA is filed under the name Triticum aestivum (bread wheat). RNAcentral describes it as "partial small subunit ribosomal RNA". Lineage: Eukaryota; Viridiplantae; Streptophyta; Magnoliopsida; Poales; Poaceae. The record is from RNAcentral.